UAACCAUCGGCUAUUCGCGGCCUGCAUCAUCAUAAGACACAUAAAUGAUUUUGUCACUAAAUCUUAAAAGAAACUUACAUUUUCAUCUGAAAACCAAUGUUCCUUUCUUAGUGCAGCUUUCCACAUGGUCAAUGAAAGCUUGUCACUUGGAGGCUCUUCUGCGCAUUGUGUUUUAGUUACCGCGUAUAGCACUAUGUUUCGCAUGCACUUCACUGUUUGAAUGAAAUCUGGCGGAUCGCAUCGUUAUAUAUUCAUUUGCUUCGUCGGAAAAUAGACAACGACCACUUAUUCCAAAUACUUUUUUUGACGUCGAACUAGUUUGAGGUGUUGACCAUGCCAUGAUUUCCUGAUAAAUGUGUUGUAUAAUGCCUUGAUUCACUAUAUACACGAUUAGCAAAUGCUGCUUGAUCACGUUGGGCAAGCUACUUUACACCUGUGUCCUCAUUCCGGAUGGGGAACAAUCUUAGCAAUGUUCAGUGUGACGUUUUAAGUUCACCUCGGAUACUAUUUUUGCUGUAAAUUGACGUUAUCUCAAAAGACGUAUCAUAUGAGCACAUGAAAAAUUAUACUAGUUGGAGAAAAAACCUUUAGCCCAUUUUACAAAGGAGGAUUUUUUCCCAGUCUCUUAAUGUAGGAAUAGCUAUCAGAAGUAGUCGUAGGUUGAUCUCACUGGGUCGUGCUCUCUGUCAGCUAAAGUAAAAACAUUAAAAUUUGAUACACAUAUAAUCAUUAUAUAUAAUCACCUUUUUAAUGAUAAUCGUGAUACAAGGGUAGCAUAAGUAUAAGGCGCAAAAGACAAGUAAUCAUUACCAUGAACUUAUGUCACUGCCAAAUAUAGCACAAAGAGCGGGAAAUAGGUCAAAUAAAGCUCAAAAACUGAGUAAUAGUUACUUUGGAACCACUCGCAMGAAUGGUUAUGUCAAUCAUUGUUAUACCGUAUAUGGUGAGCUAGCUCUGGUUUAUAAGGCUUUGGGGCUAGAAGCGGGAAAUUCAAAAGCUUUUCCGGCCUCUAAAGGGUAAUCAACAGAAGCGGAGAAGAGAGAACAUUCGACAAUUUCUUCGACUCCACUUCUUUAUGAGUUUGGAUUUCUAACCUCAUAUCCAAAACAGACRAAUGAACUUUUYAUAUGGUGAGUUUUUCUUAAUAGCCAAGGAUUUUACAACCAUUCUUGAUUCCAUAUUUGGCGGGAAAAAUGUGAAUUAGUUGUUUUGCUUUUCCRCUUGUGAUAUUUGAUCUAACUUAUAUGUUCAUAUUGAUUGCAAGUUGUUAAAACGGGAAAGAGAAGAUGAGCGAUUCAGAAUCAGAUCCCGAUCGUUCAGUAAGUUUUUUGUUGAAAUUUCAUGCCAACUGUACUUCGAAUAUCAAUUCAAUUUAUGACUUAAAUCUACAAGGUGAUGAUAGACGAGGCUUCAAGAUGGCACGCUACCUGCUCAUCAGGCGAGAGUACAGAUGAAAAUGAACGGGAAACAGUGGUACGAAAUAACAUACUGUAUACAUAUUUAUUUCUUUAUAUACAGCUGGGCUUAACACAUUUCAUUAUAGGAAAAAGCACUACAGAGAUUUCGCUCUUGUCAGCAAGAGCUGAAAUCAUCGAUUGCAAGACAAAAAAAUCUAUCUCGCCGAAAGCGGAAAAGCAACAGUGUAAGUUUGCGUAUACAAUAAAACAUUUCAAUAACUGAAUAAGUUAUAAAUGUAUUUUUGUUCUUUUUCGAAGAAACCACGUCAUGUUCGCAGAUCAAAAGCACUAGAAGAAACUCAAAUUAAGAAGGUGCUUUCACUGCGGUGUUGUAAGAAAAACACCUGUUUAAAACAAUUUGAGACUGGCGAAGUUAUGAAGUGGAGGACAUCCUUCUGGGAACAGUCAGAAGACCAACAAAGGCAGUUUCUGUUGACUGCUUUCUCGCUAAAUAUGCACUAUGGAGAAAAUCAGAUACGAAAGUAUAACUUCAGUAUUUAUGGGAAAUCAGUAUGUCAUAACGCGUGGUAUAAGUUACUGGGAAUUUCUAAUGGAUGGUUUUAUGGUUUGCUAAAAGAAUACGACGAGGGAAGAAUUUCAGGACAAAGCAACCGAAGUGGGAUUACUUGGAUGUCUGCGUAAAAAAAAAAAAAAAUGCGUAAAGCUAUUGCAUGGCUUAAAAGUAUGUUUGCAAGUAACAGGUUACAGCACUGAAGAUUAAGAAGUUUCGAUUAGAUCACUUUUAAUGCGGUUUCUUUUAGGGCAUGUGGAAAAUCAUGGCGACAGAAUGCCGAAUGAAGACAGAAUUUGUUUGCCAAGUUGUCAAAGCAAGAAUGAGCUCCACAAUCUCUAUAAGAAAGACUGCUUGGCUAGUAAGACGGWGUACAUAGGCAAGUCAGCUUUUAAAAGCAUGUGGAGGAAAGUUUAAUUGAAGUAAUGGACUGAAAAAUUAUUGCCAGAAACAUGAAAACGUUACUAAUAAACAACAACAACAAAGAAAACCCUACAGCAAGAAUGUCAAAUGCCCAAAGGAAUUGGUGGGGGUCAUUUAUAAAGCAACAGCAAAAAACAAAAGACAUGUGGGACGCGAUGACUCAAGCUGAAAAAGAUAAAUUACCUAACAUUGGUAAAUUCAAGGAGGACAGUGAACCACAGCUGUCUGAAGAAGCUUUGAGACAGCGAGAUUAAUUGAAUAGAUUAGAGCAGAAACAGUGCAAGUUUCCCAGGAUCAUAGCAGGAAAAAACACUGAAAAGACGGCAGAUAAAAAAGCCAAGAGAAGAGGAAGGAAAAGAAAAGAAACAAGAGAGCAAGAAACUGAUAAGGAAAAUUCUGAACCGAAAAAGAGAGGAAGACCCCGAAAGACAAAACAGUAGAGAUUAGUUAAAAUAAUAAUAUUAAUUCCUUAGUAUCAUAACAGUUUUCAUCAUCUAGAUAUCUUAUGCGAAUUUGAUCACCGCUAAAUGUGAAAUGACUUUGAAGUCAUUGCUUGAUCUUGGAAAGUAAAUCUGAAUACGAUUCAUUGCAAUUCAUGAAGAACAAUCCACAUUUUGAAAAGUGUUCUCCGUAAAAGACUUUCACGUGGUAUUCCGCCAUCUUACGCAGCAAAUGCCUUUUUCUAAUAUCACGUGACCUUUUGGGAUAUACCUUUAAUUCCACUGAUAGCAUUUGGAUUAUCUUCUCUAAUAGCGUAAUUUCCGCAGCAUCACGUCUAGCUGAAAACAUAAUUAAGAAAACAACCCUUUUUGGGGGGAGGGGGCUUGAUUUUUAGCCACUACGCAGGCUGAGUUAUUUUUUUUCUAUUGCUUUCAGAUAAAUAAAUUCACGACUACAAAAACUCUCGUUCAGAGUCGUUAAAACUUCAUUAUUGACAUUGCCCCUAUGAUAAAAAUGGGAAAUAAAGACCAAUAGACCCGAUAUAGUGGUGAAGAAUAAGAAAGAGAAAACCUGCUUGCUUUGGCUUGUCCGGAAAGGCUGACGGCGAGAUAAGCGGCUUUUCGUCGUUAUUCCAGCCGUUAUUUCGGAGACCACUUCAAACUGGGCCUCGUAGUCUUCUCAUGCAUUAUCCCUUCAUACGUAGCAGGUUGGACUCGUGGAUUUUUGAGCUGAGAUUUGUUUUCGACAUCGUCCCCUUUCAGUGGCGUCAAUAAUAUCAGUGUUACUAGAUAUUCUCUGCUAAUUCACAUUUAGCAAGAGCUCCGAACUGUUCAUCGUAUUUAAGUUGGCUUCCG
Exaiptasia diaphana is the source of this 3686-nucleotide long non-coding RNA. RefSeq lists it as uncharacterized. The record is from RefSeq and is a predicted model, not a curated record. The transcript has 3 exons. Lineage: Eukaryota; Metazoa; Cnidaria; Anthozoa; Actiniaria; Aiptasiidae.